UAGACGUGUGGGACGUUGGACGUACUGACCUCAGGGCAAGCAUACAUGCCCAGAAGACUGGAGCUGUUCCAGCUGAGAAUCUCUCCACCUCUUGGAAUUCUAGAACGUCCAAAAAUAAGACUGAAACAUAAGUAGCCAUUUUAAGCCUGCUAUCCUGCUAGCCUGACGUCCCUCUGUAGGCUACCGUGGUUUGAUGUCUGAUGGUCGGCCUUUGUGAACUUGAAGAGCAUUCCGUAAAAGGUCUGUGUUUGAACCUCGUCAGAACUCCAAAGGGGCGGAGGACUGUCAAACAGACAGCUUUAUCCUCAGGGUCAGAACAUCAGAACUGGACAUUUGAGUAUCAGUAUGGUCAGGUGGAAGACUUCAUGUACUCGUAGAGGCAAGGGCCUGGUGGGAGACAUACAGAGGGGUUGAUGGUGGCACUUUGGCUGAGUGCAAUAAUGAGUCAGUGACAGGUCGAGGCGAGCAUCCAUUCCUCUCUGCGCCUGCGACCGGCCUCGGUACAGUUCAU
Sardina pilchardus (European sardine) is the source of this 511-nucleotide long non-coding RNA. RefSeq lists it as uncharacterized. NCBI's taxonomy places the organism in Eukaryota, Metazoa, Chordata, Actinopteri, Clupeiformes, Clupeidae. The transcript is spliced from 5 exons. The record is from RefSeq and is a predicted model, not a curated record.